UUCUAGGCUUCUAAUUCUUGAUAUAUUUAUUGGGUUAGCUUCAUUAAGCAUAGAAUUGAUGACUAGAACCUAUAAUUGCAUGAUUUCUUCCUAAUUAGAGGCUAAAUUAUGGGAUUGGAGGUUAGGGUUUAUACUCAAAUUUGGGGGUUUUGCCUAGAAUCCGAAUUUGAGUAAAUUGUUGGUUCUUCUAGCUUGAUAUUGAUGGGAAUUGAUCACUUAGAGCUUUAAUUUCAUGUUGAGACCUUUAGAUUCCUAAUUUCACCUUUCUAGUUCAUAAACCCUAUUCCAUAGGUUGGGAAUUUGGGUCUUGAAUAUAAGUAGGGUUUGAAUGAUGUUCUUCUUGAUUCUAACUCCAUGAUUCGAAUAUGUUAGACUUUCAUUAUCUCGAGGCUCAAAGGAAAGGGAAGACUAAGGAGUGAUUGUUGGAGACUUUGUUGUUCGGCAAUCCAGAGUAUCAGGUGGGAUUGACGUCUACUCCUCGUGGCUGAGAGUUUGAGGUUGCUGAUACGAGUCUUGUUGGAGUGAGCACGUGGACGCUUCGCCACCCGGAGACUCCUCUUUAUUUAUGUCUUACUUGAUAUCUUAGACAUAUUGAGACUAUUGAUGUAUUAUUAUCAUUCACACUUGUAGUAGUUAGUUAGUUGCUCUUGUAUACCAGAUCAGAUACUGGGUGUUUUCUCU
Lycium ferocissimum is the source of this 681-nucleotide long non-coding RNA. RefSeq lists it as uncharacterized. The transcript has 2 exons. The record is from RefSeq and is a predicted model, not a curated record. Lineage: Eukaryota; Viridiplantae; Streptophyta; Magnoliopsida; Solanales; Solanaceae.